CACCGGGGGAUCGGGAGCGUUACCUGCUAUCUCUUACCCAUGUCUUUAGAGUACCUUACGUUUCCUCGGCGGGUCCGCCCGCCGAUUGGACAAUUUAAACCAUUUGCAGUUGCAAUCAGCGUCUGAAAAAACUUAAUAGUUACAACUUUCAACAACGGAUCUCUUGGUUCUGGCAUCGAUGAAGAACGCAGCGAAAUGCGAUAAGUAGUGUGAAUUGCAGAAUUCAGUGAAUCAUCGAAUCUUUGAACGCACAUUGCGCCCCUUGGUAUUCCAUGGGGCAUGCCUGUUCGAGCGUCAUUUGUACCUUCAAGCUCUGCUUGGUGUUGGGUGUUUGUCUCGCCUCUGCGUGUAGACUCGCCUCAAAACAAUUGGCAGCCGGCGUAUUGAUUUCGGAGCGCAGUACAUCUCGCGCUUUGCACUCAUAACGACGACGUCCAAAAGUACAUUUUUACACUCUUGACCUCGGAUCAGGUAGGGAUACCCGCUGAACUUAAG
This 495-nucleotide ribosomal RNA is filed under the name Didymella sp. HL42. RNAcentral describes it as "eukaryotic LSU rRNA". The stretch from base 144 to 297 matches the Rfam family "5.8S ribosomal RNA". The record is from RNAcentral. Lineage: Eukaryota; Fungi; Ascomycota; Dothideomycetes; Pleosporales; Didymellaceae.